Molecule: ribosomal RNA, 255 nt
Filed under: uncultured bacterium
Lineage: Bacteria
Description: partial 16S ribosomal RNA
Rfam family: Bacterial small subunit ribosomal RNA
Source: RNAcentral
GCAUACGUCCUACGGGAGAAAGCAGGGGACCUUCGGGCCUUGCGCUAUCAGAUGAGCCUAGGUCGGAUUAGCUAGUUGGUGAGGUAAUGGCUCACCAAGGCGACGAUCCGUAACUGGUCUGAGAGGAUGAUCAGUCACACUGGAACUGAGACACGGUCCAGACUCCUACGGGAGGCAGCAGUGGGGAAUAUUGGACAAUGGGCGAAAGCCUGAUCCAGCCAAGCCGCGUGUGUGAAGAAGGUCUUCGGAUUGUAA